GGGGCUGAUUCUGGAUUCGACGGGAUUUGCGAAACCCAAGGUGCAUGCCGAGGGGCGGUUUGCCUCGUUA
Molecule: transfer-messenger RNA, 70 nt
Filed under: Enterobacter hormaechei
Lineage: Bacteria; Pseudomonadati; Pseudomonadota; Gammaproteobacteria; Enterobacterales; Enterobacteriaceae
Description: partial transfer-messenger RNA
Rfam family: transfer-messenger RNA
About the family: Bacterial tmRNA, also known as 10Sa RNA or SsrA, is named for its dual tRNA and mRNA-like properties. Its role is to liberate the mRNA from a stalled ribosome. To accomplish this part of the tmRNA is used as a reading frame that ends in a translation stop signal.
Source: RNAcentral